UUGAAUAUUAUAGAAUUUUACACAUAUGUGUAUUGAGAGCUUUGUCUCUUGUGGUUCUGGAUUGAACCAUCCUUGAUCUUAUCAAGAAAUCAUAUUUCUUGUGGCGAUCCUCGCAUCCAUAGACUUAUCGCUUUCUUGGAUUAGAAAGUGUGGCGUCCCUGUCUAUCCAUUCCAUUUCUUCAGUUUUAGUCUUUUCACCAU
Molecule: long non-coding RNA, 201 nt
Filed under: Medicago truncatula (barrel medic)
Lineage: Eukaryota; Viridiplantae; Streptophyta; Magnoliopsida; Fabales; Fabaceae
Description: long non-coding RNA (MTRU_LNC002348)
Source: RNAcentral